This 743-nucleotide long non-coding RNA is filed under the name Panax ginseng (ginseng). Its description in RNAcentral is "long non-coding RNA (PGIN_LNC011534)". The record is from RNAcentral. Lineage: Eukaryota; Viridiplantae; Streptophyta; Magnoliopsida; Apiales; Araliaceae.
AAAUCAAACUCGCACACCAUUAUACUGCCACCAAUACAAAUUUAUGAUUUAAAUCAUUAAGCAAAUGAACCAUUCCUUGAUAUAGUACUAAGAAAACUUAAUUUGAUUGUAAGCUCGAAUUAUAUCAAUCUAAAUCAUGCCCCCUACAUAUAAAUAUGUGUGCUCAUUUAUUUUUAGAUAAUUCAGGGUAAAGUAAGGGGUCUUAUGUUUCAGGUAUAUAUUGAAGGAUACAUGAUGAAAGCUGUAAAGAAUAUACUUGUUGUAAGCUGUAAAGUAGAGGGUCUUAUGCUCAACAUGUUGUUUCUCUAUUUUCUGCAUGUAUGUAUUUUUUGUAUUCUGCCUUUUGUAAAGUUAGCCAAUUAUACUUGGUUAUGUUGAUUGUGGGUAUGGAAUGACGGUUUUUUUUGGUGGUUUGGAUAUGUAUGGAUGAUUGUAAGUUUUGUAAACAGGUUUAGAUUUUUCUGGAUAUCUAUUUUUAAAGGAAACUCUGCCGAAAUUUCUUGAAAUUAGUAGCGAUUAGCUUGAUGUUUUGGUGGUUGGAUGUGUUGAUGAUUGAGUAUGUAUUAAUUUCUUCAUGUAUGUAUUUUUUUUGUUCCGCAUUUUGUAAAGUUAACUAAUUAUACAUGGUUAUGAUGAUUUUGGGUAUGAAAUGAUUGUUUUUUUGGAGGUUUGGAUAUGUAUGGAUUAUUGUAAGUUUUAUACACAGGUUUAUAUUUGUCUAGAUAUCUAUUUUUAAAGGAAAU